UUGCCCACUUGAGGUUUUAAAUAUCUUAAGUGGCCAUUAUUAAGGGGUAGACUAAAAUUCUCUCUUAAACCCAAGUCAGGGGUCUCACCCCUGCCUCUGGACCUGUCGGGAGGGACAGCA
This is a small nucleolar RNA of Cheilinus undulatus (humphead wrasse), 120 nucleotides long. RefSeq annotates it as small nucleolar RNA SNORA26. The transcript has a single exon. NCBI's taxonomy places the organism in Eukaryota, Metazoa, Chordata, Actinopteri, Labriformes, Labridae. The record is from RefSeq and is a predicted model, not a curated record.